Equus caballus (horse) is the source of this 3021-nucleotide long non-coding RNA. Lineage: Eukaryota; Metazoa; Chordata; Mammalia; Perissodactyla; Equidae. The record is from Ensembl.
GUGGAGGGGUGUGUGGACUGACUGACUGCCCAGAUUCCAAAGUCCAAGAUGAAUUCCCGAUUCCUCGCAGAGCAGAAGGCCCACGUUGCAGCUUGUUCCAGCCUCGCUCUGAACGGCGGAGAUUCAGGAGGAGGCCACCUCUGGGCCCGCCUGGGGCUCACCUGUUCCACGUUGCAGGAUUCCAGGACUCUCUGAAUUCUGACAGCAGCAAUCAAAUUCAGGCAUCUUGGUGUAUAAAGUGUGGAUGUCAUCUGUUGCUUUUUCUUUCCAUUUUAAGAUCAAGAGAUUAAAUAUAUAUUUGCACAAAUGAAAUUCACAUUUUAAAGCAGUUGUUCUUAACAAGCAAGCUUCUGGAGGAUGAGCAUGAAUAAUAUUUUGCCAAUAGAUUGAAAAUUUAGAUGGCAUCGACAAAUGCCGUAAAAAAUCCCCUAAUUUACCAAAUGACACAGAAGAAAUAGAAAAUUAGAGUAAUCUUAUGACUCAUGACUGAAUCUAUAAUGUAAAACUUUCCUAUAAGAAUAUAUGGAAAAGCAAGUAGUUCAAAAGGGCCAAGACCCUUUUGCAGAAGAAGGAUAAUUUGAAAGAAUUAACCCAAGCAGGUAUCUAGUGCUGCUAAAAUCUAGAGAAAUGAAAACUGGAUGGAAUCUGUGCAGAGAUGAGCAACUGAGCGGCUGAACACAACUGAGCCUAGAGAGAGAUCUGCACAUAUUUGGAAUGACGGCAUGGCAUUGCGUGUCAGUAGGGAACAAUUAACUUUUCAAUAAGUUGUGAUGGGAAAAUUGCUUAUCCAUGUCAGAAAAGUGGAAUUGGGUCCCUAUCCCAUACCUUACACAGAAAAUCAAUCUCAGAUGUGUUAAGAAUUAAAUAUGGAAAGAAAACUUAAAAACUUUUAGAAGAAGAUCUAGGAAAAUAUAUUUCUGACUUUAAGCUAGGAAAGAUUUCUUAAACAAGACAUGAGAAGUACCAACAAUGAAAGAAAAGAUAAAUAAACUUUACUACAUUAAAAUUUAAAAAUUCUAUUCUUGAGAAGGUAUUAUACUGAGAAAAGAUGAGGCUAACUGGCAGAAGACACCUGCAACGAGUAUAGUUGACAACGGAUAAGUAUAAGAAUAGAUAAAGAAUAGAUAAAGAAGAUAAAGAACUCCUACAAACAAGAAAAAAGCCAAAUGCCUCAAUAAUAAUAAUUUUUUUAAAAACCAAAGUCAUGUAUAGGCAUUUUACAAAGGAAGAAACAGGACGGCCAAUUAACAUUUGAAAAGUUGCUCAGCCUCAUUAAUAAAAAUAGAAAUACAAAUGAAGACAACAAAGAGACACCAUUGUGGCAUUAGGUUGGCAAAAAUUAGCUCUGAUUAUAAUAAGAGUCAGAGAGGAUCUGGAUCAAUUCUACAAAGUAUAAAUGGAGAAGCUCUUACACAUAUGCGCCAGGUGUCGAUACAAAUCAUCUAUAAUCAAUUUAUAAAUCAAAAUUGGGGUGAAUUUAUUAUGAGCCAAGUCUGAGGACUAUAGCCCGGGGCCUUCUUUCUCCAAGGAAGGAAGGGCACCAAAGAAAUGGGGAGUACAGAGUGGUUAUAUACUGUCUUGGAGCAAAGAGCAUCCAUCACAUAUGAUAGGAAUGUCCCUUUUACAAAAGUCACGAGAUCGCUUUGCUGGCACCGCAGUUCAGUGAACACAGCAGCUCGGUGGUCACAAGGUGCGCACAGCAGGUGGGUAAUUAAUCCUUAGUUUCUAGGAAGAGAUGCUUAUCCUUAAGGGAAUGCCAAUACAGGGGGAAGCUGCAUCCCUAUCUUUAAGGGCAUCAUUCUUGUCUUUGGGACAUCGUGAAUGUUUAAAGCAGAUGUACGAGGCAUGCCCAACAGGCCACGUCAGGCCCUUCUGCAGAAACAAGGUCAGGCCAGAUUAGUUUUAAACCAAGUGGCUUCCUCAUAUACUCGGAUAUAUCCUAUUGCUUUUCGUUUAUUUAUCACGGGAAACAUACAACAAUAUUAGUAGCUUCAUGUUUAUGAGAGCAAAAAACUGCAGGUAACCCAAAUGUCUAUCAGUGGAAGGUUGUGGUGUAGUCACACAAUUAAAUAUAUAGCAGGGAAAAUUCACUAACUAUUGCUUCAUGCAACAACAGAGAUAUGUCUUAGAAUGUGCAGGAACAAGACCAGGAUGUCUGGUCCCAUAAUUGCACUGGAGUCCUACCCAGGACAAUUAAGCAAGAAAAAGAAAUCAAAGACGUCCGGGUUGGAAAGGAAGUAAAACUUUCUUUGUAUGCAGAUGGCCUGAUCUUGUUUCUAGAAAAUCCUAAGGAAUGCACCAAAAAAGCUAUUAGAGAUAAUAUAUGAAAUCAGCAAGGUUACAGGGUAUGAGAUUGAUGUGCAAAAAUCAAUUAUAUUUCUAUGUACCAACAGUGAAUAACCUGAAAAUGAAAUUAAGAAAAAAUUCCGUUCACAAUAGCAUCAAAAAGAAUAAAAUACUUAGGAAUAAACUUAACAAAAGAAGUGUAAAACUUGUACAAAAACGGGCUGGCAGUUCCUCAAAUAGAGUUAGUAUAUGACCCAGCAAUUCCAACCCUAGAUAUACAUCCAAGAAAGUUGAAAAUGUGUUAACACAAAAAUUUCCAUAUGAAUGAAUGAGGUACUGAUAGUUGCUAACUACAAAUGACCCUUGAAAACAUUAUGCUAAGUGACAGAAGCCGGUCACAAAAGCUGUAUAGUGCAUGUUUCCAUUUUUAUGAACAUCCAGAAUAGGCAAAUCCAUAGAGAUGGAAAGUGGAUUAGUGGUUGCCAAGGGCUGGGGUUUUGGGGGAGGAAAUGUUGAGUGACUGCCAGUGAGUAUAGGGUUUCCUUUUGGUGUGAUGGAAAUGUUCUGGAAUUAGAUGGUGGUGGUGGUUGCACACCAUGUAACCUUAUGAAUAUAUUAGAAACCACUGAAUCGUAUACUUUAAAAGGGCGAAUGUCAUGGUAUAUGAAUUAUUCUCUGUGAUACAAUAAGAAAUAUGUAUUUGGUCUUUGUCUCAGUUCCUGGAACACAGCUCCU